GUUCGGGUGCAAGUUGACCUAAUUUGAUUAGACUUUAAUCUAGCCGAUUUAGAUCCAAUCGAGCUAACCCGAUUUCAGCAAUUAGAACUCUUUCUAAUUGACGAUUGAAUUAAACUCUUUAAUUCGAUCAGACCUACAAGUCAAGAUUAACAUCUAGCAACAUAUUAUGACUAUCCAAAAGAUAUAAAAUUUGAUAAAAAUAUCAAAUAUAUCCUUCAGUGGUAAGUUACCGUGCAAUUCAAUCCUUCGAUCAUCCCUGCACCUUGAAUAUAUUCAUGAGUAUGAAACCAUGUCAAACUCAAAUAUAUAUUCAUAUCAAUUUUCAAUUAACCAAUGAUAACUCCAAUGAAGAAGUAUUAGAAACUCUUUCUAAUCUCCUUCCUACUUUUGGCCAAAAGAUUUUUUCUGAAUCAUCUAGGAAUGAGAAUACACAAGAUGCGAUCUCCUCUUACUAAGAGUGAUCGAUUCCAUAUUGACCCACUCACAACCUUCAUACACACUCCACCA
This 507-nucleotide long non-coding RNA is filed under the name Elaeis guineensis (African oil palm). RNAcentral's name for it is "long non-coding RNA (EGUI_LNC074840)". The record is from RNAcentral. Lineage: Eukaryota; Viridiplantae; Streptophyta; Magnoliopsida; Arecales; Arecaceae.